Molecule: ribosomal RNA, 256 nt
Filed under: uncultured archaeon
Lineage: Archaea
Description: partial 16S ribosomal RNA
Rfam family: Bacterial small subunit ribosomal RNA
Source: RNAcentral
UAAUACGUAGGGGACGAGCGUUGUCCGGAUUUACUGGGCGUAAAGGGCGCGUAGGCGGUCAUUUAAGUCAGCUGUGAAAUGGUUUGGCUUAACCGGAUCAUGCGGUUGAAACUGGAUGACUGGAGUGCUGGAGAGGCAAGUGGAAUUCCCAGUGUAGCGGUGAAAUGCGUAGAUAUUGGGAAGAACACCGGUGGCGAAGGCGACUUGCUGGCCAGCAACUGACGCUGAGGCGCGAAAGCCAGGGGAGCAAACGGGA